This 465-nucleotide ribosomal RNA is filed under the name Vreelandella stevensii. RNAcentral describes it as "partial 16S ribosomal RNA". It matches the Rfam family "Bacterial small subunit ribosomal RNA", at positions 338 to 795 of the family's 1533-position model. Lineage: Bacteria; Pseudomonadati; Pseudomonadota; Gammaproteobacteria; Oceanospirillales; Halomonadaceae. The record is from RNAcentral.
CCUACGGGAGGCUGCAGUGGGGAAUAUUGGACAAUGGGGGGAACCCUGAUCCAGCCAUGCCGCGUGUGUGAAGAAGGCCCUCGGGUGGUAAAGCACUUUCAGUGAGGAAGAACGCCUGGUGGUUAAUACCCAUCAGGAAAGACAUCACUCACAGAAGAAGCACCGGCUAACUCCGUGCCAGCAGCCGCGGUAAUAUGGAGGGUGCGAGCGUUAAUCGGAAUUACUGGGCGUAAAGCGAGCGUAGGUGGCUUGAUAAGCCGGUUGUGAAAGCCCCGGGCUCAACCUGGGAACGGCAUCCGGAACUGUCAAGCUAGAGUGCAGGAGAGGAAGGUAGAAUUCCCGGUGUAGCGGUGAAAUGCGUAGAGAUCGGGAGGAAUACCAGUGGCGAAGGCGGCCUUCUGGACUGACACUGACACUGAGGUGCGAAAGCGUGGGUAGCAAACAGGAUUAGAUACCCUGGUAGUC